UACAGAGGUCCCGAGCGUUGUUCGGAUUCACUGGGCGUAAAGGGUGCGUAGGUGGCCUGAAAAGUUUGAUGUGAAAGCUCAGGGCUUAACCCUGAAAUGGCAUUGAAUACUGUCGGGCUGGAGGUUUGGAGGGGGGACUGGAAUUCUUGGUGUAGCAGUGAAAUGCGUAGAUAUCAAGAGGAACACCAGUGGCGAAGGCGAGUCCCUGGACAACACCUGACACUGAGGCCCGAAAGCUAGGGGAGCAAACAGG
Molecule: ribosomal RNA, 253 nt
Filed under: uncultured bacterium
Lineage: Bacteria
Description: partial 16S ribosomal RNA
Rfam family: Bacterial small subunit ribosomal RNA
Source: RNAcentral